This 334-nucleotide unclassified non-coding RNA is filed under the name soil metagenome. RNAcentral describes it as "partial contains 5.8S ribosomal RNA, internal transcribed spacer 2, and large subunit ribosomal RNA". The stretch from base 1 to 120 matches the Rfam family "5.8S ribosomal RNA", at positions 35 to 154 of the family's 154-position model. The record is from RNAcentral.
GAUGAAGAACGUAGCGAAAUGCGAUAAGUAAUGUGAAUUGCAGAAUUCAGUGAAUCAUCGAAUCUUUGAACGCACAUUGCGCCCGCCAGUAUUCUGGCGGGCAUGCCUGUUCGAGCGUCAUUUCAACCAUCAAGCCCCCGGCUUGUGUUGGGGACCUGCGGCUGCCGCAGGCCCUGAAAACCAGUGGCGGGCUCGCUAGUCACUCCUAGCGUAGUAAUACAUCUCGCUCAGGGCGUGCUGCGGGUUCCGGCCGUUAAAAGCCUUAUUUACCCAAGGUUGACCUCGGAUCAGGUAGGAAGACCCGCUGAACUUAAGCAUAUCAAUAAGCGGAGGA